GGUUUGAUGGCGUAGUUGGUUAUCGCACUCGCCUAACACGCGAGUGGUCCCCGUGGGGAGCCCGGGUCGAAUCA
RNAcentral lists this transfer RNA (74 nucleotides) under Gomphillus americanus. RNAcentral's name for it is "tRNA-Val". The record is from RNAcentral. Lineage: Eukaryota; Fungi; Ascomycota; Lecanoromycetes; Ostropales; Graphidaceae.